GAAGCUUCAUUGGCCUUACUGAUUACUACAGAAGAUUUAUUAAGGAUUAUGGCAAGAUAGCAAAGCCUCUUACCAUUUUGCUCAAGCAGGGUAGUUAUAAUUGGACUGAAGAAGCACAGAAUGCCUUUGUAGUUCUUAAGCAAGCAAUGAUUCGAGCUCCAGUUCUGUCCCUACCAGAUUUCUCUAAAGUUUUCAUUGUGGAGAUUGAUGCCUUUGGUGAAGCUAUUGGGGCUAUGCUUAUGCAAGAGGGUCACCCUAUUGCCUAUAUUAGCAAGGUGUUGUCUGUGAGAAACAUGGGGCU
Molecule: unclassified non-coding RNA, 301 nt
Filed under: Hevea brasiliensis (rubber tree)
Lineage: Eukaryota; Viridiplantae; Streptophyta; Magnoliopsida; Malpighiales; Euphorbiaceae
Source: RNAcentral